Molecule: ribosomal RNA, 530 nt
Filed under: uncultured Acidobacteriota bacterium
Lineage: Bacteria; Pseudomonadati; Acidobacteriota
Description: bacterial SSU rRNA
Rfam family: Bacterial small subunit ribosomal RNA
Source: RNAcentral
AGAGUUUGAUCAUGGCUCAGAAUCAACGCUGGCGGCGUGCCUAACACAUGCAAGUCGAACGCGAAAAGGGGCAACCCUGAGUAGAGUGGCGUCCGGGUGAGUAACACGUGGAUAAUCUGCCUGCGGGUGGGGAAUAACUUUCCGAAAGGGGAGCUAAUACCGCAUAACACUAUUUGGGGGCAUCCUCGAAUAGUCAAAGAGGGGGAUCGCAAGACCUCUCGCCUGUAGAGGAAUCCGCGGCCGAUUAGCUAGUUGGCGAGGUAACGGCUCACCAAGGCGACGAUCGGUAGCCGGCCUGAGAGGGCGAACGGCCACACUGGCACUGAAAUACGGGCCAGACUCCUACGGGAGGCAGCAGUGGGGAAUUUUGGGCAAUGGCCGAAAGGCUGACCCAGCAACGCCGCGUGAAGGAUGAAAUCUUUCGGGAUGUAAACUUCGCAAGUCAAGGAAGAAUAAGGCUGUACGAAUAAUACAGUCGAUGACGGUACUUGACGUAAGCCCCGGCUAACUUCGUGCCAGCAGCCGCGGUA